Molecule: unclassified non-coding RNA, 1256 nt
Filed under: Hevea brasiliensis (rubber tree)
Lineage: Eukaryota; Viridiplantae; Streptophyta; Magnoliopsida; Malpighiales; Euphorbiaceae
Source: RNAcentral
AUUUUACUGGUUUCUAUAUGGAGUUAAAUAAAAUAUGAAUUUCAAGUCCUUUAUAACUGAUGGGCACUUCUGGUAGUGCAAGUAGUAGGACCUUUCCGGCUGAUAAUGAAAAUGAACAUUUGACAAAAACACACUAACCUUAUUAAACUAUAAAUCUGGUUGUUGAGAUUUUCUCCGUAGGUUUGCUGUCGACAUUCACCACUUAUUGCGGUAAUUAUCUGGAAACUAUUUGUGAUGUGGACAGCCUUCAAACUUAGAGUCAGUGCAGUGUCACAGUCUAAACAGGCUCCAGUUCUUAGGCCUUACUUUGCUCACCUCUGGUCCAAAUUCUUCAGGUUCUAGUGGUGCUAUGUUCACAAUGCUUUCUUGCACUGGUGGAGGUUCUGAUGAGGUAGCUUGGUUGCAACCAACAAUCUUUUGGCAUGUCUCAAUCAGGCAGUGCCUGCAAGUAGGGCAGGAUGAGUGUGAGCUGAGCCACUUGUCGAUGCACCGGACAUGGAAUCCAUGGUUGCACUUAGGCAGAAGGCGUACACGUUCACCAGGUGUGAACUCUGAAAGACAUAUCACACACUCUGUGUCCAGACCAGGCAGCUUCAAGUCAGUUGAGUAGUUUACUGUUGGGAACGUCUUUAAUGCUUUUCUCUUGACUCCUGUAUUGGCUAAUCGAGUUGAGGAAUCGCCAGCAGACUGGGAAGCUACCAAAUUGGAGCACCUCAAUGCACACCUAAUGAUGGAAUUCAAUCCAAGUGAGCAAAUCAGGGCACAUAAGAGGACUGAGAGGACCAUAACAACAUUUGCGUCGAAAUUGUUAUCUCUGGUGUAAGUUUCUGAUGGAUUGUGACCAUUUCCAGGAGCUGCAGGAGCUGCCGCAGUUGGUGAUUGAUAAAGGGGGGUGUGUAGUAGCAAUCUUCUUGAGUAAAAGUCCCCUACAAAAUCUUGAAAUAGUUGAGCGGUUGAAGUAGAGGUUGACAUGCUUAGAGAGUUUACAGAGGCUGGGAAUUUAAGAUGGGUACUUCUUGGAAGUGAUUACUUAUAUAGGAAAAGGUCAAGGGUUGAAUUUGCUACUGGAGCUUUGAUAUAAUAUUUACAAUUAUUACAUUAAGAAUGGCACAGUUGAGAAUAUUUUGGGAGUUUUAGCUCAGAACACGGUGUUUUAUCUUUUUAAUUUAUGCAGGCCUAGAAUCUUAUGGAUUCUCCACUGAACCUUAUGUAGUUUAAUGGACUCUCUAAUCAAAGAGAGGCCAUCCCACUUUCUG